UCUUCCCACUGACCUCUGCUUGUUUCAUCUGGUCCUCGAGGCUGCUUGCUCUUUCUAGUCUUUCCUACUAGGUGCAGCAGCUACCACACCUUUAGGAGACUGAUUCCAAAAGGCGCCGACCUUCUGCAAGUCCCCCUGAGUUCGGAUGGAGAUACAGAAGAUCAUAUAUGAAGCCGUGUCAUUGUACUUAGAGGGGAUCAGGGGACAAAAUGUGGAGAGUGACAAGUAUUGCUGAAAGCAGGGAAACUUUUGUUUGCUUCUCCACUGUAGAACAUGACGAGGAGUUUUAUCUGCAGUUCCACUAAAACCAAAAGCCCACACCACAGAGCAAAGUGAUAUUUCGGUGACAUCUAGAAAGGCAUUUCAAAU
This is a long non-coding RNA of Mauremys reevesii (Reeves's turtle), 369 nucleotides long. RefSeq lists it as uncharacterized. Lineage: Eukaryota; Metazoa; Chordata; Testudines; Geoemydidae. The record is from RefSeq and is a predicted model, not a curated record. The transcript has 3 exons.